AACAGUGAGAACACUUCUGGCAUUCCACCAUCACUAGUGCUUCUCGGCAAUUCGCACGGCAUUGAGAGCUACUUGUCUUUAAUUGCUGCACACGAAGAUGUCUAGCCUGAGAGAAAAUGUGAGCAUUUUUUUGGAUAAGCAAAAGAGAGAACCCAUUUUGGCCAUUUUGAGAGAGAUCACGCCUUAUCCUUCCCAUAGCAACAUCAUCCAUGCUUGACACUUGGCUUAAACAAGUGAAAACUCUAGUCAAAUGGAGUAUGGAAACCACUACCUUCAAUAGCCCCACCAUCAACCACUGUAACCCCAGUUGUGCUCGACAGUAUUUGUGUCACAGCUACUGUGCCACAAAUGCACUAGAUUCAAAA
This 365-nucleotide long non-coding RNA is filed under the name Selaginella moellendorffii. RNAcentral describes it as "long non-coding RNA (SMOE_LNC002122)". The record is from RNAcentral. Lineage: Eukaryota; Viridiplantae; Streptophyta; Lycopodiopsida; Selaginellales; Selaginellaceae.